GACGAACGCUGGCGGCGUGCUUAACACAUGCAAGUCGAACGGAAAGGCCCUGCUUGUGUGGGGUGCUCGAGUGGCGAACGGGUGAGUAACACGUGAGUAACCUGCCCUUGACUUUGGGAUAACUUCAGGAAACUGGGGCUAAUAACGGAUAGGAGCUCCUGCUGCAUGGAGGGGGGUGGAAAGUUUCGGCGGUUGGGGAUGGACUCGCGGCUUAUCAGCUUGUUGGUGGGGUAGUGGCUUACCAAGGCUUUGACGGGUAGCCGGCCUGAGAGGGUGACCGGCCACCUUGGGACUGAGAUACGGCCCAGACUCCUACGGGAGGCAGCAGUGGGGAAUAUUGCACAAUGGGCGGAAGCCUGAUGCGGCAACGCCGCGUGCGGGAUGACGGCCUUCGGGUUGUAAACCGCUUUCGCCUGUGACGAAGCGUGAGUGACGGUAAUGGGUAAAGAAGCACCGGCUAACUACGUG
Molecule: ribosomal RNA, 468 nt
Filed under: uncultured bacterium
Lineage: Bacteria
Description: partial 16S ribosomal RNA
Rfam family: Bacterial small subunit ribosomal RNA
Source: RNAcentral